RNAcentral lists this ribosomal RNA (253 nucleotides) under uncultured bacterium. RNAcentral's name for it is "partial 16S ribosomal RNA". It matches the Rfam family "Bacterial small subunit ribosomal RNA", at positions 524 to 776 of the family's 1533-position model. The record is from RNAcentral.
UACGUAGGGUGCGAGCGUUAAUCGGAAUUACUGGGCGUAAAGUGUGCGCAGGUGGCCGCGCAAGUCGAGUGUGAAAUCCCCGAGCUUAACUUGGGAAUUGCGCUCGAAACUACGUGGCUCGAGUGUGGCAGAGGAAGGUGGAAUUCCACGUGUAGCGGUGAAAUGCGUAGAGAUGUGGAGGAACACCGGUGGCGAAGGCGGCGUUCUGGACUGUUUCUGACACUGAGGAACGAAAGCCAGGGGAGCAAACGGG